AACGAACGCUGGCGGCAGGCCUAACACAUGCAAGUCGAGCGAGGACUUCGGUCCUAGCGGCGGACGGGGGAGUAACGCGUGGGAACGUGCCCUUUGCUUCGGAAUAGCCCUGGGAAACUGGGAGUAAUACCGGAUGAGCCCAUUGGGGGAACGAUUUAUCGGCGAAGGAUCGGCCCGCGUUGGCUUAGGUAGUUGGUGGGGUAAUGGCCUACCAAGCCGACGAUCCAGAGCUGGUUGGAUAGGAUGACCCGCCAGACUUGGACUGCGGCCCGGCCCACACCCCGACGGGAGGCAGCGGUGGGUAAUCUUAGACACUGGGGGAAACUCUGAUCUAGCCAUGCCGCGUGAGCGAUGCAGGCCUUAGGGUUGUAAAGCUCUUUCAGCUGGGAAGAUAAUGACGGUACCAGCAGAAGAAGCCCCGGCUAACUCCGUG
RNAcentral lists this ribosomal RNA (433 nucleotides) under uncultured bacterium. RNAcentral describes it as "partial 16S ribosomal RNA". It matches the Rfam family "Bacterial small subunit ribosomal RNA", at positions 28 to 507 of the family's 1533-position model. The record is from RNAcentral.